Molecule: ribosomal RNA, 1082 nt
Filed under: Pasteurella multocida subsp. septica
Lineage: Bacteria; Pseudomonadati; Pseudomonadota; Gammaproteobacteria; Pasteurellales; Pasteurellaceae
Description: bacterial SSU rRNA
Rfam family: Bacterial small subunit ribosomal RNA
Source: RNAcentral
AUUGAACGCUGGCGGCAGGCUUAACACAUGCAAGUCGAACGGUAGCAGGAAGAAAGCUUGCUUUCUUUGCUGACGAGUGGCGGACGGGUGAGUAAUGCUUGGGAAUCUGGCUUAUGGAGGGGGAUAACUGUGGGAAACUGCAGCUAAUACCGCGUAAUCUCUGAGGAGKAAAGGGUGGGACCUAUUGGCCACCUGCCAUAAGAUGAGCCCAAGUGGGAUUAGGUAGUUGGUGGGGUAAAGGCCUACCAAGCCUGCGAUCUCUAGCUGGUCUGAGAGGAUGACCAGCCACACUGGAACUGAGACACGGUCCAGACUCCUACGGGAGGCAGCAGUGGGGAAUAUUGCGCAAUGGGGGGAACCCUGACGCAGCCAUGCCGCGUGAAUGAAGAAGGCCUUCGGGUUGUAAAGUUCUUUCGGUAAUGAGGAAGGGAUGUUAUUUAAUAGAUGGCAUCAUUGACGUUAAUUACAGAAGAAGCACCGGCUAACUCCGUGCCAGCAGCCGCGGUAAUACGGAGGGUGCGAGCGUUAAUCGGAAUAACUGGGCGUAAAGGGCACGCAGGCGGACUUUUAAGUGAGAUGUGAAAUCCCCGAGCUUAACUUGGGAAUUGCAUUUCAGACUGGGAGUCUAGAGUACUUUAGGGAGGGGUAGAAUUCCACGUGUAGCGGUGAAAUGCGUAGAGAUGUGGAGGAAUACCGAAGGCGAAGGCAGCCCCUUGGGAAUGUACUGACGCUCAUGUGCGAAAGCGUGGGGAGCAAACAGGAUUAGAUACCCUGGUAGUCCACGCUGUAAACGCUGUCGAUUUGGGGAUUGGGCUAUAUGCUUGGUGCCCGAAGCUAACGUGAUAAAUCGACCGCCUGGGGAGUACGGCCGCAAGGUUAAAACUCAAAUGAAUUGACGGGGGCCCGCACAAGCGGUGGAGCAUGUGGUUUAAUUCGAUGCAACGCGAAGAACCUUACCUACUCUUGACAUCCAGAGAAGCUUGCAGAGAUGCGAGUGUGCCUUCGGGAGCUCUGAGACAGGUGCUGCAUGGCUGUCGUCAGCUCGUGUUGUGAAAUGUUGGGUUAAGUCCCGCAACGAGCGC